RNAcentral lists this ribosomal RNA (460 nucleotides) under uncultured bacterium. Its description in RNAcentral is "partial 16S ribosomal RNA". It matches the Rfam family "Bacterial small subunit ribosomal RNA", at positions 338 to 795 of the family's 1533-position model. The record is from RNAcentral.
CCUACGGGUGGCAGCAGUGAGGAAUAUUGGUCAAUGGACGAGAGUCUGAACCAGCCAAGUAGCGUGAAGGAUGACUGCCCUAUGGGUUGUAAACUUCUUUUAUAUGGGAAUAAAAUGUUCCACGUGUGGGAUUUUGUAUGUACCAUAUGAAUAAGGAUCGGCUAACUCCGUGCCAGCAGCCGCGGUAAUACGGAGGAUCCGAGCGUUAUCCGGAUUUAUUGGGUUUAAGGGGAGCGUAGGUGGAUUGUUAAGUCAGUUGUGAAAGUUUGCGGCUCAACCGUAAAAUUGCAGUUGAUACUGGCAGUCUUGAGUACAGUAGAGGUGGGCGGAAUUCGUGGUGUAGCGGUGAAAUGCUUAGAUAUCACGAAGAACUCCGAUUGCGAAGGCAGUUCACUGGACUGCAACUGACACUGAGGCUCGAAAGUGUGGGUAUCAAACAGGAUUAGAUACCCCUGUAGUC